AAGAGCUCGUAGGUGGUUUGUCGCGUUGUUCGUGAAAUCUCACGGCUUAACUGUGAGCGUGCGGGCGAUACGGGCAGACUUGAGUACUGCAGGGGAGACUGGAAUUCCUGGUGUAGCGGUGGAAUGCGCAGAUAUCAGGAGGAACACCGGUGGCGAAGGCGGGUCUCUGGGCAGUAACUGACGCUGAGGAGCGAAAGCGUGGGGAGCGAACAGGAUUAGAUACCCUGGUAGUCCACGCCGUAAACGGUGGGUACUAGGUGUGGGUUUCCUUCCUUGGGAUCCGUGCCGUAGCUAACGCAUUAAGUACCCCGCCUGGGGAGUACGGCCGCAAGGCUAAAACUCAAAGAAAUUGACGGGGGCCCGCACAAGCGGCGGAGCAUGUGGAUUAAUUCGAUGCCAACGCGAAGAACCUUACCUGGGUUUGACAUGCACAUGGACGCCCGCCAGAGAAGUUCGGUUCCCUGUGCCCCUGUGUGCCAGCUUGGUGCAUUGGCUGUCGUCAGCUCGUGUUCGUGAGAUGUUUGGGUUAAGUCCCGCAACGAGCGCAACCCCUUGUUCUCAUGUUGCCAGCGGGUAAUGCCGGGAACUCGUGAGAGACUGCCGGGGUCAACUCGGAGGAAGGUGGGGAUGACGUCAAGUCAUCAUGCCCCUUAUGUCCAGGGCUUCACACAUGCUACAAUGGCCGGUACAAAGGGCUGCGAUGCCGCGAGGUUAAGCGAAUCCUUUUAAAGCCGGUCUCAGUUCGGAUCGGGGUCUGCAACUCGACCCCGUGAAGUCGGAGUCGCUAGUAAU
Molecule: ribosomal RNA, 792 nt
Filed under: uncultured Mycobacterium sp.
Lineage: Bacteria; Bacillati; Actinomycetota; Actinomycetes; Mycobacteriales; Mycobacteriaceae
Description: bacterial SSU rRNA
Rfam family: Bacterial small subunit ribosomal RNA
Source: RNAcentral